RNAcentral lists this long non-coding RNA (549 nucleotides) under Triticum aestivum (bread wheat). Its description in RNAcentral is "long non-coding RNA (TAES_LNC025804)". Lineage: Eukaryota; Viridiplantae; Streptophyta; Magnoliopsida; Poales; Poaceae. The record is from RNAcentral.
CCUUUGCUUUGUUUUAUGGGGCAGAGCUCUUUUCCAGCAUGUGCCGGGGCAAUUUUGGAUCGUUGCUGGGUCUUGCAGCGCCAUCUGAGAGUGAUCGUCGAUCUCUUCACAUGCCCUGCACUAGUUAGUUGGAGCAGCGUUCUUUAUGCGCCACUUGGUUCUACAGCUCCAGUAGAUUAGUAGCCGUUUAAUCUUGGCGUGGAAUUUACAACGGUAUAACUGGGAUAGCAUCUCCGUAUCUAUAUACAGUAUGUAUUACAGACGCACUCGGCCGAAUGAGUGCGGUUUCCAAAACAAAGGAAAUUGUUCGUGUCAGCCUGUCGAGAGGUUACAAGAGCGUAUCAAAUUCGGGCCAAACCAUGUACUACUCCCUCCGUUCCCAAAUAUUUGUCUUUCUAGGUAUUUCAAAUGAACACAACAUACGGAUGCAUGUAGACAUAUUUUAGAGUGUAGAUUCACUCAUUUUGCUCCGUAUGUAGUCACUUAUUGAAAUCUGUAGAAAGAUAAAUAUUUAGGAAAGGAGGGAGUAGUAUAUUGGGACUGAGGGAG